Molecule: unclassified non-coding RNA, 317 nt
Filed under: fungal sp.
Lineage: Eukaryota; Fungi
Description: partial internal transcribed spacer region
Rfam family: Eukaryotic small subunit ribosomal RNA (bases 1-46)
Source: RNAcentral
AAGUCGUAACAAGGUUUCCGUAGGUGAACCUGCGGAAGGAUCAUUAACACUCUUUUUUCAAUGAAAGAGCUCAUUUUUUGAUAUCUUUGUUUUUUCUUUUGAGAAACUUGGAUUCAAAUUAUGGGUAUUCACCCCCUUAUAUUGACGAACGAAGAAAAACAUUGAUUUUGUUUCAAAAGCAAAAUUCAUAUUUUUCUAUCUUUUUUCUCUAUACCCUAUAUUUUUCAAAACCCCUUUUUUUACAAUAUGUCUUAGACUGAAAUGAAAAAUUAAGAUAAAUUAAAAAACAACUCUUAACAACGGAUAUCUUGGUUCUC